This is a long non-coding RNA of Macrobrachium nipponense, 4834 nucleotides long. RefSeq lists it as uncharacterized. The record is from RefSeq and is a predicted model, not a curated record. Lineage: Eukaryota; Metazoa; Arthropoda; Malacostraca; Decapoda; Palaemonidae. The transcript is spliced from 3 exons.
UUGCUCUUCGUUUUAGGUUAAUACCUAAGGUUAGAACAACAGAGACCCAGGUUCGCGGUACUUUUUCCAAAAAUGUCUAUCCCUGAAACACGAUGUUUGCCAAAAGGUAUAUUUCAGAAGCUGGGAUCACUCACUGGCAGACAUACAGCGCACAGGAAUUGAAGCUCCAGCUCAUCCGAGGGAGAAACGACAAAAAAUUUACUCCCGUUUAAAAUUACAAGAAUACUUUAAUUAUUUAUUUAUUUAUUUUUUGAAAAAGGAGAUUGUUUAGUUGCUGUUAAAUUGCUGUCCCAUGAUAUUCCUCGUUCUGACUUUAUAAAUAACAGAAUUAGUCAAUUAUUGUUGGCAGUAUUCAAGAGGAUUUUUCGUUAGUCUGGUGGCCCUUGAAUGUAAGGGCUUAGCUUUCAUUGAAAAAGGGAAAACGAAAACACAUCACUGUGGACGUAAAGAAAAUAACAAUUAUUGUCAAGGUAAAAAAAAAAAAUGAUACUCUGUAGAAUGUAUCAAUUGUACAUUGUAUCGGGCUCAUAGUAUCAGUGGAUUUUGCCUUUCAUUUAAUAAGUUUUAAUUUUUUUUUUUCAGGAAACUUAAUGUGUACGAUUAUAGGUACUCUUUCAUUUGGCAAAAAGGUUAAAUACUAAUAAGCCGCGUGAGUGUUGGCUGUAAUAUUACCUAAGGAGGCACUCUGUGUCUCUCACUGUAAUAUUAUAGGAGUCGGGGGAGCAAACAUUCCAUAUUUGCUUUUGCCUGAACGCCUCCAGUGAGAUCCAACAAUGGUGAAACUAUCGUUGGUUAGCAACUGGUCAGACCUUCCACUGUUAGUGUGAGUCCUUUGUCUCAGCUGUUUAUUUCUCACACCUACAAACCCUUUCCUCUUUAGGGGGCUAGUUCUGCCAGUGCACCUCACACCGUGCACUGUAGGCAUUUCUUUAUUAGGUUCUUUGUGGCGUCCCUUCGACCCGUAGUUGUAACCCCUUUCAUUCCUUUUACUGCACUCCCUUCAUAAUCUCUCUAUUCCAUCUUGUUUAUUUGUAUAUAUGUAUGUAAGUAUGUAUACAUAAAAAUAGCCUUCCUCUGCGUGAAUGGUCCACUGUCACACGAACUGGAGAAGUCUUGAAACGAGAAGAAAAGACAUCUAUCUUUCCCCUUUGUGCUGCUUUGCUGCAAUUUCCCGUUAUUUUGAUUAGACGUUCAUUUGUUUCCGUUCACACAUCUAUCUGUUCAACUUGGUUCGCUUUGAUUUGCUGUGCUUGGUGAAUUGAUCAAACAUUUAGCACCUUUCUUACCUUUUCGAAUUACUGUAUGUUAGCAUUCUCUUUCUAGAGUGUGUUUCAGUCAUUUGAUAAACCUGGUAUUUAUUUGACUUCAAUCUGUAACUAUGCUUGGGUUUUAAACUUUCAAUAUGUUCGGGAACUUCAUAAGUUCAAGCGAAGAUGCAGUGCAUAAUGCAAUUCAACUUAUAUUGUAAUAUUUCACUUGAAUUGUUAUCUAUUUAUUGAUUGGUUAAUUUAUUUUCUAAUAACUGAUCGUCUCCCCCCAUAUUUCCCAUUACCUUCUGUCACUUCUUUCAAAUGAACACCAUAGUAUUCAUUGGAAGGGUGAAUUUCAAGUCAGUGGCUCGUGUGAGUAGGGCCCCUCUUCUGAAUAUAAUGAUAAUAAUGAUAAUAGGUAGAAGACCAUCUUUCAAACAGGUACUGUUAAAAGAUAUUGCUGCAUCAGCUGAGUAGAUGAUUUUGUAGAGUUUUCUCUAACUUACUUAUGAUAGCUUUCUCUUGGGUACUACAGUUAACAAGUAAAGUUCCAAUUCCAGGCAUAAUAGGGAUAGUGAAAUAUGAUGAGUAAUGUGCAUACAGUUUAAUUGUAAAACUAAUAUUUAAUGAAAUAAACUGAUAAUGCCAACUUUAAUUUAAGUUGUACAAGUAAACUCUAUUGGCAUUACUCUCUGUAUUUCACUACCCCUAUUAGUUCCUCGUUGUACGAGUGGUUUUCGUGCACGGCUACCAAACCGGUUGGGGCGAAGUUCGAUCCUCGGCUCGGCCAAUGCGGAAGUAGAGGAAUUUAUUUCUGGUGAAAGAAAUUAAUUUCUCGAUAUAAUGUGGUUCGGAUCCCACAAUAAGCUGUAGGUCCCGUUGCUAGAUGACCAAUUGGUUUCUAGCCACGUAAAAAUAUCUAAUCUUGGGGCCAGCCAUAGGAAAGCUGUUAAUCAGCUCAGUGGUCUGGUUAAACUAAGCUAUACUUUAACUACCCCUAUUAUGCCGGGAAUUGGAAGGUUACAUGUUAACUGAGGUACCCAAGGGAAAGCUCUCAUAGUAAGUAAGAUAGAGAAAACACUACAAAAUCAAUAUGGCUGAUGCAGAAAUAUCCUUUAACAACAACAACAACAACAAUAAUACCCUUACCAGAGUUGUUUGAUUUUUCAGCAGUAUUUUGCCAUUGUUACCAAUACACUAAUGGGUAGUUUCUCUUCCGUCCCUCUCAGAGGUUUAUUGUGCAUCCUUUUUGCCAGGUUACUGUUAAGAUAUUCAAUUAUUGUUGUGAUUUUUAUCCUUCCUCUUCAUCUUGCUGGUGUUGGUCAAUAUCUACAGUACCUUCUUUAGCUCUUGCCCAGUCGUGUUGGGAAGGGUGGUUAGUUUUUGUUAAUCCUGCAGUUCAUUGAAGACAAACCCUACUAAUUUUUAUAGCUGUAAUAGAUGGUUGGGUCUUUCAUGCUCUCAACUGAGCGUUCAGGCAUAAGUGAGGGUGAGAAGUUUGUUUCCCCUGAAACACAGACAGGAUUAAUUCGGUCCGGACUUUGUAAGGCUACAGUUGGUAAAUGUAUUCAUAUGUAUGUAUGUAUAUACCAUAGUAUGUAUGCAUACAUAUAGAUAAAUGUGUGUAUAUAUAUGGAGGUUUAUUAUAUGUAUACAUAUGUAACAUAAAUGUAUAUAGGUGCAUGUAUGUGUAUAUAUAUGAAUAUAUAAAUGCGUAUCUAUAGUACUGGUAAUCUUCUUAGACACGAAGAUAUGUUAUUCGAUUGUAUUCCACACUGGCAAAUGAAAAGUGAUUUAGAAAAUGUCCAACAGUUUCGUCCUCCAGUGGACCUCCUCUUGGAACGUUUAUUGAGGAAAUAGAGCGAGAAAAAUUAAGGCCUAAAAUCUUGAACAUAUGAAGUACCGUUACCAGAAACUAGCAGUUUGAACUAUCCCAAAAAAAUGACAGUAAAAUAAUACAAUAAAACAAGACUGCAUUGUAGUUUUACAAAUAGAAAAUACCAAAAUAUCAAAUAAGGUGUUCUGUCCAUUUGAAACAGCUUAACACUAAGUAGAUAUGAAGAAGCUUAUAAUAUAUGAUAGUUAUGGAUAAAAUUAAUCAUUUUGUACUGACGUCUCAUGAGUUGUUAAAGAAAAGGCUCUAAUUUAUAGAAACCUGGCGAAGAAUUUAAAUAACCGCAGGGGGUUGAUUAUGGACUCUGUGGGUUGGUAUGGGAAAGAUAUAAAAUUCAGCUUUCUGUUUUUCAUAAAACUCGGCUUUCUGUUUCUCUCCCCAUAUGAGUAAACUGAGGUCCUUUGGAGUACGAAGCUGUUGGUAUAUUUUAACAAAAACACUUUUCAAUUUGCUAUGUGGAAUACAAUUAAAAGACGUGCAUAUAUAAUACACACAUUUACAUUUAUAUCACUUAUAUUUAUAUAUUACUUCUCUAUUGUUUUAAGAGAUAAAGAAGGUUGUAAUUGUUAUAAUGUGUUAAAAUAUUAUAAUGUGUUGAAUCAAGUGAACCUCCUCGGCUGUGAAUCCAGAUAUUUUACAUUCUGUAAGGUUAAAAGCUUACGAGCUAAUGCUGAUAAAAAAUUAGUUGUAAAAGCUAAGUCUUCAAUGGGAAAUAUAUUGUCAUCAUGUGAGUAAAAGCUAAGUCUUCAAUGGGAAAUAUAUUGUCAUCAUGUGAAUCUCAGAUAUACAAAUAUCAUUGGUUCUCUGCAGUCUUGAAGUGUCACUCAAUGAAAAUUUAUUCCGAGGUAAUAUUUAUUCUUGCUCUUCAGAUCAAAUAUGAAAUUGCAUAUCUGUAUUUAUUGUACACAAAGAGAAAUUAAUGUGUUUUGGCCUUAUUGCAUUUGAAGUAGAGAUGGAUUUCCAAAGUAUAGGAAGUGUUAGACAUGGAGGGUAUAUAUCUGUGUGUGUGUGUGUUAUUGCAAAAAUCAUCAUUUCAAAUGGACCACAACCCAAGAUCCCGUAGUCGGGCACUGCCAUCAGUGCACAUCAAGUGCACUUUGUGAUUACUUAAGAUUCUGUGUAGCGUCCUUUCGGCCUGCAGCUUGCAACCCCUUUCAUUCAUUUUUGUGUACCUCCGUUCAUAGUCUCUUACUGUACACCCUUUUUUAACAAUUUGUCAUAGUGCAACUGCCAAAGGUUUUCCUCCUGUUACACUUCUAAAGCCUUUUUAUUCUCAAUUGAGCUUUCAGCGCUGAUUGACCUCAUAGAUCCCAUCUCUUGACUUUUGGCCUAAAUCUUAAAUACGGCACCAGAAGGAAGGAUUGCUAGGUGCCAUACUUUCAUCUUUGCCGUCUUCAAUUGUGUAUUUUGGUGAGAUUUAGAAUUUGUGGUAACUUCUGUGUUUAGAAAUAUUUGUGUAACUUCAGAUUUGAUGUUUGUUUCCCAAUUUUCAGAAUAGGUUUUGUUCUACGUAAAACCCUGUCCUGAAAGUUAAUUUUAAUAUAGAAUCAUUAGGGAUCCUAAUCUUAGGAUGGCAGGUGUUCCCUUUUGAUUUUUUUAUUGAACCUUCUCCUCUGCCAUCAGCCUUGUUUGUUCAUUCUCUCUCUCUCUCUCUCUCUCUCUCUCUCUCUCUCUCUCAUGAACAACUAGA